This is a long non-coding RNA of Nematolebias whitei (Rio pearlfish), 117 nucleotides long. RefSeq lists it as uncharacterized. NCBI's taxonomy places the organism in Eukaryota, Metazoa, Chordata, Actinopteri, Cyprinodontiformes, Rivulidae. The transcript has 3 exons. The record is from RefSeq and is a predicted model, not a curated record.
GGUGAUCCUGGCGGCCAUAGCUUACCUCAUCUUCAUCAGAAGAAGUAACUCUGCCAGCAGACUUCAAGUCCUUAUAGACACAUCUGGUCGACCGGCAAGUGUAAACCAACCAUCUUU